GGGCCGGUAGCUCAGCUGGUAGAGCAAUUCCCUUUUAAGGAAGAGGUCCCGGGUUCGAAUCCCGGCCGGCCUACCA
RNAcentral lists this transfer RNA (76 nucleotides) under Candidatus Magasanikiibacteriota bacterium. Its description in RNAcentral is "tRNA-Lys". It matches the Rfam family "tRNA". From Rfam's summary of the family: Transfer RNA (tRNA) molecules are approximately 80 nucleotides in length. Their secondary structure includes four short double-helical elements and three loops (D, anti-codon, and T loops). Further hydrogen bonds mediate the characteristic L-shaped molecular structure. tRNAs have two regions of fundamental functional importance: the anti-codon, which is responsible for specific mRNA codon recognition, and the 3' end, to which the tRNAs corresponding amino acid is attached (by aminoacyl-tRNA synthetases). tRNAs cope with the degeneracy of the genetic code in two manners: having more than one tRNA (with a specific anti-codon) for a particular amino acid; and 'wobble' base-pairing, i.e. permitting non-standard base-pairing at the 3rd anti-codon position. The record is from RNAcentral. Lineage: Bacteria; Candidatus Magasanikiibacteriota.